CACAUUUCCAUUGCAUUUGCUUAUCUUGAAAGCUGAAAAAAAAUUGAAUUCAUCUGCUGUCAAGCCUUGCUUCAGAUCAAACCUUUCUGUCCCCUGGAUAGGAAUCAAUUUGAUUUGUGCUUUUCUCUUAGGUUGGAAUCAAUCAUCCUGCUCUGAUUCGAAUGACCAUUUUACCCCUCUGAAGGUUCACAUUAACAAGCAUUCCUGGGAUGUUUUCUUGAUUGGGUUCAAGUAAUUCCCACAUUGAUGUUGUUCCAGACCAUCUGAUCCCAGCCUCUGGAAGUCCUUCCUGCUGGAAAGCAGCAGUCCCUGUAUGAACUACGAGCACGGUUGAGUCGGAAGUCGCCUUCAUAACAGCUUUGAUGUUUCAACGCUUUUUACAGGAGAUGAGAUUUGAUAACCUGC
Molecule: long non-coding RNA, 405 nt
Filed under: Gallus gallus (chicken)
Lineage: Eukaryota; Metazoa; Chordata; Aves; Galliformes; Phasianidae
Description: lncRNA (ENSGALG00010019656.1)
Source: RNAcentral